RNAcentral lists this ribosomal RNA (406 nucleotides) under uncultured bacterium. Its description in RNAcentral is "partial 16S ribosomal RNA". It matches the Rfam family "Bacterial small subunit ribosomal RNA", at positions 30 to 526 of the family's 1533-position model. The record is from RNAcentral.
AUUGAACGCUGGCGGCAGGCUUAACACAUGCAAGUCGAGCGAGCGGCGGACGGGUGAGUAAUGUCUGGGAAACUGCCUGCUGGAGGGGGAUAACUACUGGAAACGGUAGCUAAUACCGCAUACCAUCUGAUGUGCCCAGAUGGGAGUAGCUAGUAGGUGGGGUAACGGCUCACCUAGGCGACGCUCCCUAGCUGGGCUGAGAGUAUGACCAGCCACACUGGAACUGAGACACGGUACAGACUCCUACGGGAGGCAGCAGUGGGGAAUAUUGCACAAUGGGCGCAAGCCUGAUGCAGCCAUGCCGCGUGUAUGAAGAAGGCCUUCGGGUUUUAAAGUACUUUCAGCGAGGAGGCGUUACUCGCAGAAGAAGCACCGGCUAACUCCGUGCCAGCAGCCGCGGUAAUUC